AUGGAUCAACUGUGGUUCAGCUUGUGUCUCAUAGCCUCGUCCACGCUACUGGCCCUCUGGUUUUGCAAAAGGAGUACGCCCAAGAAGAGGUUGCCUCCUGGGCCAUGGUCCCUGCCCAUCAUCGGUAGCCUCCACCACCUCAUUGGCCUCCUCCCCCACCGCACCAUAAUGGAGCUGUCUCGUCGGCAUGGGCCGCUGAUGCUCCUACGGCUGGGCGAGAUGAAUUACAGUGUUUGUGUUGUAAUGAAACUUGAUCUGAAAUAG
RNAcentral lists this ribosomal RNA (264 nucleotides) under Triticum aestivum (bread wheat). RNAcentral's name for it is "partial small subunit ribosomal RNA". The record is from RNAcentral. Lineage: Eukaryota; Viridiplantae; Streptophyta; Magnoliopsida; Poales; Poaceae.